This 86-nucleotide transfer RNA is filed under the name uncultured archaeon. Its description in RNAcentral is "tRNA-Leu(gag)". It matches the Rfam family "tRNA". From Rfam's summary of the family: Transfer RNA (tRNA) molecules are approximately 80 nucleotides in length. Their secondary structure includes four short double-helical elements and three loops (D, anti-codon, and T loops). Further hydrogen bonds mediate the characteristic L-shaped molecular structure. tRNAs have two regions of fundamental functional importance: the anti-codon, which is responsible for specific mRNA codon recognition, and the 3' end, to which the tRNAs corresponding amino acid is attached (by aminoacyl-tRNA synthetases). tRNAs cope with the degeneracy of the genetic code in two manners: having more than one tRNA (with a specific anti-codon) for a particular amino acid; and 'wobble' base-pairing, i.e. permitting non-standard base-pairing at the 3rd anti-codon position. The record is from RNAcentral.
GCGGGAGUCCGAUAGCCCGGUCAAUUCGACUGCGUUGAGGUCGCAGUGGCUUAGUGCCUUCGCAGGUUCAAAUCCUGCCUCCCGCA